CCUCCGGUGUCCAGCUUUGGGCGGCCCUGCGAACAGAGGAGCUCUCCAGCACUGGCAGUGGGAACUUCUCCGUCUGCAGUCAUUUCAGAGAGAGAUUUGGGUACCAAAAAUGGGAGCUGGAGAAACGCUUUAGCCUUUAUCCUGUGCAGCAGGGCGUCUGAGACGCCAAAACCAGCGCCGGGAGGAGCCGUUGUGUCGGUGCGCCUUACUCGCUCCUGCGGAGGGAGGAAAUGACGUCUCUCCCAAAACGCCUCUUUUGGCUGUGUAGGCUGAUGCUGAGGAAAGCUAAACACUUGCCUACACAGUGACCAGAGCAAGAAACCGAACUCUGCUCUCCCAGGCCUGUGCUCUGAGCCUGAAACGCUGCCGUCUUUACUCAAAGAUAUGUAUCUAGUUUAGAAAGUCUCUGAACAGCAGAUGAGCGGAAACUGGGAGGUUAUGUUAGUGCUUGCCUUGUGCUUACAUUCUUCCACCUACCUACUACUGUCAGUGACAGGAUAUUGGGCUAAACAAACCUUAGGUCUAGCCACAAACAGCUGCUUCUAUGAUCAUGUGUUUUUCUUUAAAUAUGAAGCUGUAUUGCUACACAUUUUGCACUGAGGAAUUAAGUACAUGCUUUGAGUUCCCUGUGAAUCUGUUCAAUGCAUAGAUCACCUUCAUAAUAUUGUGAUGUAGCCCUUAUCAUCUCCAUCUGACUUUAAAAAUUCUCUGCUGUGGAGAGUUCCAAGAGAAACAAAUUCACUUUUUUUUUUUUUUUUUUUUUGCUAACCUGCCUGGCCCACACAUUUCAAACAACUUCACAACUUCACGGUUCAGCUCUUCCAACCUCUUUACAUUUUACAGUCUUUAAACAAAUCCCCUCUGAUCCUUAAAUAGCUUUCAGUGGGCCUGUUUACUACGCAAAACUCUGAACCCAUGCACACGUGAGCUUCUGACACAUAAAGGUGAUACACAAAAACAUGAAAACAAGAACUAUAUAUACACUGUAGAAUUUCACAGCAAAGCUCAGAGUUGAGCGCAACCUGCUACCAGUAGUCAAAUGCAAAUGAGAAAUAGUAUAAAAAUGUGAAAGAACAAAGAAGAUAUUCAAAAUGCUUACAAUUAAGAGAAAGAAAUAUUAUAAACUCAGGGCUUACCAGGUUGGAAAGCUCCUAAAACACAUCUGACAAACCCAAUACAGUCAAAACAUUCCUUUUUGGUGGCAGUGCUGGUGUAAAAAGUUCCCACAGUGCCCUAUCCCAGCCCUGGGUUGUCUCUCCCUCUCACACGAACGUCUGACAGUUGUUUCUGGUGUCAUUUUAUAAGCUGGAUUGAGGAACUGGUCGGGGUUAAAACAACCUCUCUGCUCCCACAUCUUAUUUCUUUAUUUGGAUGACUUCUGUGAUGCUGUUCUGAGCGUGGCCUACGGAACAGCCGUACUGCCCCAGCACAGGAGCAGGAGCAAGGGAAGGGGGCAGCAGGCACCUAACCCAGCAAAGGCACCGGCACGAAUGCUCCCCAAAGCUACCUCCUAAAUAACCAGGAAGAUUUUGCUAUUUUUUACAUUCCAUGCAACCCGUUUGCCUGUUUAGGUGAGUAUUUCUCUGAACUACAGCGGUAGGUCUCUGACAGCUCCGCAGGAAAUCAAUUAGCAGGUGCUUCCCAUUGUAUGACACUAGAUCUAAAGGAGCAGGGAGGAAUGUUCUUUCACUAAGGAAUGAAGUUUCUUUGUUUUUACAAAGUGAAACUGUUUCUUCAUAUUGCAGUUAACUGUGUGACACAACAGUGUCUUUAUACAAACGGCUGUAUAAGGCCAUCCCCAAGACAUCUCAGCAGUUGUUCCAGCAGCCUACAGAUACAUUUUCUACCUUAUCAUUCUUUCCUCCCUGCAACGCUGCAGCAAUCCCAGCCUCUGCUCGAUGUUCAGAGGACACUAAUUUCAGUCUCUCUCUCCCCCCUCUGUCCUGCUACCAGUUUCCAUAAAACCUGAAAAAAUUCUUAUCUUUAAGACCUACACCGCCUCGUGAAACACGGCUGAAAACAGAUGAGAUUCAAAACUUGGAGGGGAGCUGACGCAUGCACAGAAAGACAACACAGUUGUGUCUUACUCCCUUAGGGAACCAGGCCAAUAACAAGCCACACGUUACAGCAGCUAUACAAGGUAUGAGGACACAACAAAUCCUAAGAAAUAAUGAUUCACAGUCAACCAAAUGCACAGGUGUUACUACCUGACACGUUGCAGGAUACAAAAUAGGCUGGUAAGAAGGCUGGUGACGGCAGAUGCAAAAUACCCUGUAUUUAAACAUGACAUAUGGAUUCUGCUUUCUGCCAGGGCUGACACCGGCAUGCUACACUGGGAGUCUGCCUGCAGUAAAGAGCUGACAAAAUGAUGAUCCUUCUGCCCACAUCAAGCUGUUCGCUAGAUAGAAUUUGAAGAUCUCAUACCACAUUUUUAAAGAAAUAAUAAAUAAAUCCAGUGGACCAAUUAGCAUUAAAUUGCUACAUGCAUAAUGUUCUGACAAGUUUUUUGUUGCUGCCUUUGUUCCAAGUCACAAUUUAGCACUUUUGGAAAAGAGAGAAUGGUAUUAAAUAAAAUAAACAGAGACGUUUGUACGUUGGGGAAUAUUUUAGGAAUAUUCCAAUCUCUCUCCUUCACUCCUUCCAUUCCAUGAAGACACACAUCUUAAAUAUGACUGCAAAAAUAGCUAGCAUAGUAAGGCUUUUCUCAGAAAAGGGUCAACGGUACCUACGAAUCAGCCAAGAGCCCAUUACAAAGCAAUGCAGAGACUUCUUUUUUCAUCUCCCAAAGGCCCUUUCGGUGUGAAAAUGACAUGUUCUCUAAUGGUUCUUUACUGCAGAGCAUUGCUCGGCUUCUGGAAAACUAACGCACACUUUCUCUUUGUGCUGCUGGGCUACCAUGUGUCAUUUCUUCCCCCAUGUACUCCUCUCAUUUCCGCAUCUUAAGGCAUAUUAGAGGAAUAAUUAGAUUUAGAGGAUAAUUGCCCAAUGCUUCUGGAUGUGGUAAUCCAGUCCUCAAAGUGAUACUGCUGUGUAUGUACCACACGCUUAUCCUGUGACAAUGAACAAUUUCUAUAGCUAUCUUCAGAGCAUCAGAGAUUUCACCUUAAACCCAGUCGUCCACAGAAAUACAGUGUAUUUUGUUUGGUUUUACUCACCUUAGCACCAGACUAUAGUUCCACUCAGGUAUUAAUGAAAAUAAAUUAUGUUUUUCACAGUCAUUCCUCUAUGGCUACAAAAAACACUAUAAGAGAAUCAUUUGAAAAUUUUUACGA
This is a non-coding RNA of Struthio camelus australis, 3272 nucleotides long. Lineage: Eukaryota; Metazoa; Chordata; Aves; Struthioniformes; Struthionidae. The record is from RefSeq and is a predicted model, not a curated record.